AUUGAACGCUGGCGGCAGGCCUAACACAUGCAAGUCGAGCGGAUGAAGGGAGCUUGCUCCUGGAUUCAGCGGCGGACGGGUGAGUAAUGCCUAGGAAUCUGCCUGGUAGUGGGGGAUAUAGUCCGGAAACGGGCGCUGAUACCGCAUACGUCAUGAGGGAGAAAGUGGGGGAUCUUCGGACCUCACGCUAUCAGAUGAGCCUAGGUCGGAUUAGCUAGUUGGUGGGGUAAGGGCAUACCAAGGCGACGAUCCGUGACUGGUCGGAGAGGAUGAGCGGUCACACGGGAACUGGGACCCGGGCCAGGGUCCUACGGGAGGCAGCAGUGGGCAGUAGUGGACAAUGGGCGAAAGCCUGAACCAGCCAGGCCGGGUGUGGGAAGAGGGACUUCGGAUUGUAAAGCGCUUUAAGUUGUGGGGAAGGGCAGUAAGUUAGUACCUUGCUGUUUUGACGUUACCAGCUAAAGAAGCACCGGCUAACUACGUG
Molecule: ribosomal RNA, 484 nt
Filed under: uncultured bacterium
Lineage: Bacteria
Description: partial 16S ribosomal RNA
Rfam family: Bacterial small subunit ribosomal RNA
Source: RNAcentral